UACGUAGGGUGCGAGCGUUACUCGGAAUUACUGGGCGUAAAGCGUGCGUAGGUGGUGCGUUAAGUCUGUCGUGAAAGCCCCGGGCUCAACCUGGGAAUGGCGAUGGAUACUGGCUCGCUAGAGUGCGGUAGAGGAGAGUGGAAUUCCCGGUGUAGCAGUGAAAUGCGUAGAGAUCGGGAGGAACAUCAGUUGCGAAGGCGGCUCUCUGGACCAGCACUGACACUGAGGCACGAAAGCGUGGGGAGCAAACAGG
RNAcentral lists this ribosomal RNA (253 nucleotides) under uncultured bacterium. Its description in RNAcentral is "partial 16S ribosomal RNA". It matches the Rfam family "Bacterial small subunit ribosomal RNA", at positions 524 to 776 of the family's 1533-position model. The record is from RNAcentral.